GGCUAUUAAAUUUGGCGCCCCUGACAUCACUCGAGCCCUGGAUGUAAAGAAGUACUACUGCCAGCUGGCUGAGAGCCUCCAGUUCGAGUGUGGUGCAGCCUCCUCCGCUGUGGUUCGCCGUGGGGAUGGAAAACAACUGGAAGUGGGAGGAGCUGGAGGGUCAAGAGUCAAAGACCAGUCAAAGAUAACUGAUGCCAGUGAGCUGAAGAUGCUGAUUGCAGAGCUACGAAAGGAGCUCGCUGAGCUCGCGAAGUGUAACGAGGAGCUGGAGGAUGAGGUUGAGAUGAAGAAGGCUGCGUACAUGGACCAGAUUGCUGAGUUGAAGGGUACUAUAGAUGGACUGCGGCACCAGGCGGCUGACUUCCAGGUGCAGAUGAAUGAGCAGUGUGAAGACUACAAGGAGCUGCUCAGUGAGAAGAUGGCCAGAGACAUGGAAAUUAGUGCCUACAGGAGUCUGGUGGAGGAAGAGGAGGAGAGGCUGUGUGACCUGUGACUUGAAGCCGGAGAGUCAGACUGGCAGGCUGGAUGCUUCCCCCUCACAUGGAUUAGAAAAUAAGAAAAACGUGAAAAAACAAGCCUAAACCAGCACUAGGAUGAAGCUUAAGGUACCAACGCAGCAAUUUAAGCAGAACUUAUCAUGACAGAUUAAUGCCGUCUGGAGGCCUAAGCCGGGCCAUUGAUAACAGGUCUCUGGCAGAUGACCCCGAGACUUCAAGAAAGAUGGAGCUGUCUAAAAGAGGUGGGAGGACGGGGAGCCGUGCGAUGAUUGUGUAUCCAUUCAGUGUCUGGCAGGGAUUUUUCCUUAAGUGGUUUUAUCUUUACCAGCUCACUGACAUGAUUCAUAAAUGUUUUGUCCACUCUUUGUUCAACGAGUCCCACACAGACACACAGACACACAAGUUAAACUGCGCGGCUCCGUGAAGUCAUUCCCCCUCUGAUAUCACCUCGUCCAUCACUCAAACUUUGUCUGAUUAUUGGCUCUUAACCCUUGACCCCUUCACUGUUAACAAACAUAUUGCCAGCUCUCCGUUUGGUAACUAAAAGCAUCCCGCCUUCCCUUUUGCUUUUACAGUCAUGCAUUUGUGUUUCGUUUUGCGUAUAACUGCAGGGCACUGUUUGCUUUUCAAAUGGUUCAUGAAGUUAUUGUUAUUUCUGCAGUUCUUACAAAAAGAGCACCUGGAUGUUUCAACAAGUAAAACCUGCGUGAUUCAUUAUUUCUCCUUUUGAAAAGCAAUGUCCCAUGUUGCUGUCGUUUCAGAAAUAAGCAUUUGGUAAUACAUUCCUCUGUAAUGUUUUCCUUAUUUCAUACACGACUUUCAAGCUGUCUGUGAUAAAUCAUUUUUAGUUCACGCUUCUGCCCGAGCAUCACAAUGUGCUUUAGAUUUAAAUUAAAUAAAACCAGUUGCUUGAGAGA
RNAcentral lists this long non-coding RNA (1414 nucleotides) under Cottoperca gobio. RNAcentral describes it as "lncRNA (ENSCGOG00000018436.1)". Lineage: Eukaryota; Metazoa; Chordata; Actinopteri; Perciformes; Bovichtidae. The record is from RNAcentral.